RNAcentral lists this ribosomal RNA (469 nucleotides) under uncultured bacterium. RNAcentral describes it as "bacterial SSU rRNA". It matches the Rfam family "Bacterial small subunit ribosomal RNA", at positions 28 to 507 of the family's 1533-position model. The record is from RNAcentral.
GACGAACGCUGGCGGCGCGCCUAACACAUGCAAGUCGAACGAGCGAGAGAGAGCUUGCUUUCUCGAGCGAGUGGCGAACGGGUGAGUAACGCGUGAGGAACCUGCCUCAAAGAGGGGGACGAACAGUUGGAAACGACUGCUAAUACCGCAUAAGCCCACGGUGCCGCAUGGCACAGAGGGAAAAGGAGUAAUCCGCUUUGAGAUGGCCUCGCGUCCGAUUAGCUAGUUGGUGAGGUAACGGGCCCACCAAGGCGACGAUCGGUAGCCGGACUGAGAGGGUUGAACGGCCACAUUGGGACUGAGACACGGCCCAGACUCCUACGGGAGGCAGCAGUGGGGAAUAUUGCACAAUGGGGGAAACCCUGAUGCAGCGACGCCGCGUGGAGGAAGAAGGUCUUCGGAUUGUAAACUCCUGUUGUUGGGGAAGAUAAUGACGGUACCCAACAAGGAAGUGACGGCUAACUACGUG